GUUAGAAAAAUGACCUUCCUUGAGAGGGAGAACCAUUAGUUAUCAAAGAUUCACAUAGUUCUGUUGUAAUUAAACUUCUAUAUUAAAAGUGGUAAGAAAAGUAACUAAAGACCAACAUUAAAUCUGUUUUUAAAAAAAGCAAGAAGCAAUGGCUGGCUGAUGGUUAAAUGUGAUCACAUUACACUAGAAAAUUAAGCAAUUCAUAUUUUUAUUAGGAA
RNAcentral lists this long non-coding RNA (218 nucleotides) under Bos taurus (domestic cattle). RNAcentral describes it as "long non-coding RNA NONBTAT018318". Lineage: Eukaryota; Metazoa; Chordata; Mammalia; Artiodactyla; Bovidae. The record is from RNAcentral.